CUUCAGGGGUAUCAUCCAUGCCACUUAACGUCCAAGACCUAACCUGAGGGAAGAUGUUGUUCCCCAGAGAAAGAAGCAAUGGACAAGAAAAACUUCGAAUGGCUUCCGAACCUCCGGUCUGGCCAGUUGCUGCCAUGGCAUCAUCACUCUGUCUCCCGAUCCGUCUCCACAGCGAGAGCCCCUGCAAGAGCAGAGAUCUCACCCAUUCCUCUGGAGGCCUCGUGCCUGACCCAGGGUCCUGUAUAUAGGACCACUCCAUUCAUUGUAAUGGAUGAGCAAAUGAAUGUUUCUUGAUAAUAAUGGACAUAAUAAAGAGGAUUGCCAUCUA
Herpailurus yagouaroundi (jaguarundi) is the source of this 328-nucleotide long non-coding RNA. RefSeq lists it as uncharacterized. The record is from RefSeq and is a predicted model, not a curated record. The transcript is spliced from 2 exons. NCBI's taxonomy places the organism in Eukaryota, Metazoa, Chordata, Mammalia, Carnivora, Felidae.